GACGAACGCUGGCGGCGUGCUUAACACAUGCAAGUCGAACGGAAAGGCCCUGCUUUUGUGGGGUGCUCGAGUGGCGAACGGGUGAGUAACACGUGAGUAACCUGCCCUUGACUUUGGGAUAACUUCAGGAAACUGGGGCUAAUACCGGAUAGGAGCUCCUGCUGCAUGGUGGGGGUUGGAAAGUUUCGGCGGUUGGGGAUGGACUCGCGGCUUAUCAGCUUGUUGGUGGGGUAGUGGCUUACCAAGGCUUUGACGGGUAGCCGGCCUGAGAGGGUGACCGGCCACAUUGGGACUGAGAGACGGACCAGAAUCCUACGGGCGGCAGCAGUGGGGAAUAUUGCACAAUGGGCGGAAGCCUGAUGCAGCAACGCCGCGUGCGGGAUGACGGCCUUCGGGUUGUAAACCGCUUUCGCCUGUGACGAAGCGUGAGUGACGGUAAUGGGUAAAGAAGCACCGGCUAACUACGUG
RNAcentral lists this ribosomal RNA (468 nucleotides) under uncultured bacterium. RNAcentral's name for it is "partial 16S ribosomal RNA". It matches the Rfam family "Bacterial small subunit ribosomal RNA", at positions 28 to 507 of the family's 1533-position model. The record is from RNAcentral.